Molecule: ribosomal RNA, 429 nt
Filed under: Gemmatimonadota bacterium
Lineage: Bacteria; Pseudomonadati; Gemmatimonadota
Description: Gemmatimonadetes bacterium partial 16S ribosomal RNA
Rfam family: Bacterial small subunit ribosomal RNA
Source: RNAcentral
UAGGGAAUCUUCGGCAAUGGACGAAAGUCUGACCGAGCAACGCCGCGUGAGUGAAGAAGGUUUUCGGAUCGUAAAACUCUGUUGUUAGAGAAGAACAAGGACGUUAGUAACUGAACGUCCCCUGACGGUAUCUAACCAGAAAGCCACGGCUAACUACGUGCCAGCAGCCGCGGUAAUACGUAGGUGGCAAGCGUUGUCCGGAUUUAUUGGGCGUAAAGCGAGCGCAGGCGGUUUCUUAAGUCUGAUGUGAAAGCCCCCGGCUCAACCGGGGAGGGUCAUUGGAAACUGGGAGACUUGAGUGCAGAAGAGGAGAGUGGAAUUCCAUGUGUAGCGGUGAAAUGCGUAGAUAUAUGGAGGAACACCAGUGGCGAAGGCGGCUCUCUGGUCUGUAAUUGACGCUGAGGCUCGAAAGCGUGGGGAGCAAACAGG